This 492-nucleotide ribosomal RNA is filed under the name uncultured bacterium. Its description in RNAcentral is "partial 16S ribosomal RNA". It matches the Rfam family "Bacterial small subunit ribosomal RNA", at positions 28 to 507 of the family's 1533-position model. The record is from RNAcentral.
GACGAACGCUGGCGGCGUGCUUAACACAUGCAAGUCGAACGGAAAGGCCCCCACUUUUUUGGUGGGGGUGCUCGAGUGGCGAACGGGUGAGUAACACGUGGGUGAUCUGCCCUGUACUUCGGGAUAAGCUUGGGAAACUGGGUCUAAUACCGGAUAGGACCAUGGUUUAGUGUCUCAUGGUGGAAAAAUUAUUGUUUUGGUGCAGGAUGAGCUCGCGGCCUAUCAGCUUGUUGGUGGGGUAAUGGCCUACCAAGGCGUCGACGGGUAGCCGGCCUGAGAGGGUGGACGGCCACAUUGGGACUGAGAUACGGCCCAGACUACUACGGGAGGCAGCAGUGGGGAAUAUUGCACAAUGGGCGCAAGCCUGAUGCAGCGACGCCGCGUGGGGGAUGACGGCCUUCGGGUUGUAAACUCCUUUCGUUAGGGACGAAGCCGCACCUUUUUUGGGUGUGGUGACGGUACCUUUGUGAAGAAGCACCGGCUAACUACGUG